CAUUUUAAAAGUUUUAUUUUCUUCUACGAUAUUCACCAGAGAUUUAAGAUAAGAAACCAUACACUGUUGUGAGAAUCAGCGAGUGUCGCCUAGAAAUCAGUCAUGGUUAAUAUCUGAGAAGCUAAGAGGUUAUUGUGUACUUGUGUACCAGACACCAUAUUUGGUAUGAUUCGAGUGUCAAAUAAGGACAAUAAAUUUUAAGGUCAGAAUAUAAGAAACAAAACAUAUGACAUAUACCAAUGUGAAUAAAGACUCUAGUUUUCACUUAAAGAUUACACUCUGUUAGUUAUGUGCAAAGAACUCGUCAAGUCAAAGAUAUCAUGCUUAUAAUUUUGGUAAAUAAAGGC
RNAcentral lists this long non-coding RNA (347 nucleotides) under Mytilus galloprovincialis (Mediterranean mussel). The record is from RNAcentral. Lineage: Eukaryota; Metazoa; Mollusca; Bivalvia; Mytilida; Mytilidae.